This 861-nucleotide ribosomal RNA is filed under the name Escherichia coli. Its description in RNAcentral is "partial 23S ribosomal RNA". It matches the Rfam family "Bacterial large subunit ribosomal RNA", at positions 1 to 905 of the family's 2925-position model. RNAcentral also lists the same sequence under 1 other name. The record is from RNAcentral. Lineage: Bacteria; Pseudomonadati; Pseudomonadota; Gammaproteobacteria; Enterobacterales; Enterobacteriaceae.
GGUUAAGCGACUAAGCGUACACGGUGGAUGCCCUGGCAGUCAGAGGCGAUGAAGGACGUGCUAAUCUGCGAUAAGCGUCGGUAAGGUGAUAUGAACCGUUAUAACCGGCGAUUUCCGAAUGGGGAAACCCAGUGUGUUUCGACACACUAUCAUUAACUGAAUCCAUAGGUUAAUGAGGCGAACCGGGGGAACUGAAACAUCUAAGUACCCCGAGGAAAAGAAAUCAACCGAGAUUCCCCCAGUAGCGGCGAGCGAACGGGGAGCAGCCCAGAGCCUGAAUCAGUGUGUGUGUUAGUGGAAGCGUCUGGAAAGGCGCGCGAUACAGGGUGACAGCCCCGUACACAAAAAUGCACAUGCUGUGAGCUCGAUGAGUAGGGCGGGACACGUGGUAUCCUGUCUGAAUAUGGGGGGACCAUCCUCCAAGGCUAAAUACUCCUGACUGACCGAUAGUGAACCAGUACCGUGAGGGAAAGGCGAAAAGAACCCCGGCGAGGGGAGUGAAAAAGAACCUGAAACCGUGUACGUACAAGCAGUGGGAGCCUCUUUAUGGGGUGACUGCGUACCUUUUGUAUAAUGGGUCAGCGACUUAUAUUCUGUAGCAAGGUUAACCGAAUAGGGGAGCCGAAGGGAAACCGAGUCUUAACUGGGCGUUAAGUUGCAGGGUAUAGACCCGAAACCCGGUGAUCUAGCCAUGGGCAGGUUGAAGGUUGGGUAACACUAACUGGAGGACCGAACCGACUAAUGUUGAAAAAUUAGCGGAUGACUUGUGGCUGGGGGUGAAAGGCCAAUCAAACCGGGAGAUAGCUGGUUCUCCCCGAAAGCUAUUUAGGUAGCGCCUCGUGAAUUCAUCUCCGGGGGUAG